This 29-nucleotide small RNA is filed under the name Bombyx mori (domestic silkworm). RNAcentral describes it as "ovarian small RNA-35702". Lineage: Eukaryota; Metazoa; Arthropoda; Insecta; Lepidoptera; Bombycidae. The record is from RNAcentral.
UGUCCUUAGGAGGCUACUAUCUGCCCAUG